ACUGGUGAGAGAGGGAAAAUAGAGAGAGUAAACUGUAGCUUGUUAGAGACCGCGACGUAGAAGUGGAUACCAAUGAAAGGGCAAAUAAUAGUAAACAAGCGAGGUUUUGAAUUUAUUUAUUUAUUUAUUUAUUUUUACUUUUACCGGCUUUUUGGAGGUUUUUGUACACCGCUUCUGCAUAUUUCUGCUGGAUAAGUUACUGCAUGGACGAGGACUUGUCUACGCUGGAAAUGAAAGAUGGCGAGCUGACCUUUGGGGAAAUCGAGUUGUCUGAACGGCUGCUUCACUGACACUACUCUACACCCCGUGGAUAAGGAUGAUUCAUACACAUGAGUUACGGUCACCAGGAUCCUAUGAUUUUAACUCACUUGUGAACUGUGGAAUGAUGGGAGGCGUGUCCUCGUCCAGGUCAUCUACUCCUCCCGCGAUGGGGUAGGGAGGCACCGAGACUCGAGGCAUCACCACCCAGCUGUG
This is a long non-coding RNA of Acanthopagrus latus (yellowfin seabream), 474 nucleotides long. RefSeq lists it as uncharacterized. The transcript is spliced from 3 exons. The record is from RefSeq and is a predicted model, not a curated record. NCBI's taxonomy places the organism in Eukaryota, Metazoa, Chordata, Actinopteri, Spariformes, Sparidae.